This 253-nucleotide ribosomal RNA is filed under the name uncultured bacterium. RNAcentral's name for it is "partial 16S ribosomal RNA". It matches the Rfam family "Bacterial small subunit ribosomal RNA", at positions 524 to 776 of the family's 1533-position model. The record is from RNAcentral.
UACAGAGGUGGCAAGCGUUGUUCGGAAUUACUGGGCGUAAAGGGCGCGUAGGCGGCCCGUCAAGUCCCGUGUGAAAGCCCCCGGCUCAACCGGGGAACGGCGCGGGAAACUAGCAGGCUUGAGUUCGGGAGAGGGAAGCGGAAUUCCGGGUGUAGCGGUGAAAUGCGCAGAUAUCCGGAGGAACACCGGUGGCGAAGGCGGCAUCCUGGACCAACACUGACGCUGAGGAGCGAAAGCCAGGGGAGCAAACGGG